This 465-nucleotide ribosomal RNA is filed under the name uncultured bacterium. RNAcentral's name for it is "partial 16S ribosomal RNA". It matches the Rfam family "Bacterial small subunit ribosomal RNA", at positions 339 to 795 of the family's 1533-position model. The record is from RNAcentral.
CUACGGGCGGCUGCAGUGAGGAAUUUUGCGCAAUGGGGGCAACCCUGACGCAGCAACGCCGCGUGAGUGAAGAAGGCCUUUGGGUCGUAAAGCUCUGUCAAUGGGGAAGAAGUUAUUAUGUGUUAAUAGCACAUUUUAUUGACGGUACCCAUGAAGGAAGCACCGGCUAACUCCGUGCCAGCAGCCGCGGUAAUACGGGGGGUGCAAGCGUUAUUCGGAAUUAUUGGGCGUAAAGGGCACGCAGGCGGUCCUGUCAGUCAGAUGUGAAAGCCCAGGGCUCAACCCUGGACGUGCAUUUGAAACAGCAGGACUUGAGUACGGGAGAGGAAAGGGGAAUUCCUGGUGUAGAGGUGACAUUCGUAGAUAUCAGGAGGAACACCGGUGGCGAAGGCGCCUUUCUGGACCGAUACUGACGCUGAGGUGCGAAGGCGUGGGUAGCGAACGGGAUUAGAUACCCCCGUAGUC